UACAGAGGUCUCAAGCGUUGUUCGGAUUCAUUGGGCGUAAAGGGUGCGUAGGUGGCGCGGUAAGUCGGGUGUGAAAUUUCGGAGCUUAACUCCGAAACUGCAUUCGAUACUGCCGUGCUUGAGGACUGGAGAGGAGACUGGAAUUUACGGUGUAGCAGUGAAAUGCGUAGAGAUCAGGAGGAACACCCGGGGCGAAGGCGGCCCUCUGGCUCGACCCUGACGCUGAGGCGCGAAAGCGUGGGGAGCGAACGGG
This 253-nucleotide ribosomal RNA is filed under the name uncultured bacterium. RNAcentral describes it as "partial 16S ribosomal RNA". It matches the Rfam family "Bacterial small subunit ribosomal RNA", at positions 524 to 776 of the family's 1533-position model. The record is from RNAcentral.